CGUGGGAGGCAAUUCACCUAGGAGAGCAAACUCUAAACAAACCCGGGCAGGUGGAGGUCGUUAGCCGUGGGAGGCAAUUCACCUAGGAGAGCAAACUCCGAACAAUAAACCCGGGCAGGUGGAGGUCGUUAGCCGUGGGAGGUAAUUCACCUAGGAGAGCAAACUCUAAACAAACCCGGGCAGGUGGAGGUCGUUAGCCGUGGGAGGUAAUUCACCUAGGAGAGCAAACUCUAAACAAACCCGGGCAGGUGAGGCUCGUUAGCCGUGGUAGGCAGUUCACCUAGGAGAGCACACUCUAAACAAACCCGGGCAGGUGGAGGUCGUUAGCCGUGGUAGGCAAUUCACCUAGGAGAGCAAACUCCGAACAACAAACCCGGGCAGGUGGAGCUCGUUAGCGUGAGCAGUUCACCUAGGAGAGCAAACUCCGAGCAAAAAAACCCGGGCAGGUGGAGCUCGUUAGCGUGAGCAUUUUACCUAGGAGAGCAAACUCCGAACAAUAAACCCGGCCAGGUGGAGGUCGUCAGCCGUGGUAGGCAAUCUGCCUAGGAGAGCAAACUCCGAACAAUAAACCCGGCCAGGUGGAGGUCGUCAGCCGUGGUAGGCAAUCUGCCUAGGAGAGCAAACUCUAAACAAACCCGGGCUUGUGGUGCUCGUUAUACUGUCGUAGACAAUCCACGCGAUGGGAACAUCAAAGAAAAGGAAAAUAAAAAGGAACACCAGAAAAAUGGAAAAUACAGAAACGAAACAUCAAGAAAAGAAACAAAAAGAUCAUCCACCUUUAGGCCCUAACAUCGCCAAAAUUAUGGAUGGGUCUCUUCUGGGGAGAAAGCGGCUCAUCCAGACCAAAGAACAUCAACCAAAGGAUGAUAUGAAUAAAUGAAAUAAAAAAAAACAAAGAAAAACA
Eriocheir sinensis (Chinese mitten crab) is the source of this 904-nucleotide long non-coding RNA. RefSeq lists it as uncharacterized. Lineage: Eukaryota; Metazoa; Arthropoda; Malacostraca; Decapoda; Varunidae. The transcript is spliced from 4 exons. The record is from RefSeq and is a predicted model, not a curated record.